GACAGUUGUGCCGCCAGUGCCAUCCUGGACGCCGUCGUGCAUCUACCACGCUCACUGCCGCCGCCGCGCUACACCGCCCUCUCACUCACUCUUCCAACCCUCACAUUUUCGUGUCCCACUAACCAUUUUCUUGCUCGCAAAUAAUUCCCACUACCAUGGUCGUAACUGUAUAUAAAACUUGCAUGACAAACAGAAAGGGAGAACCGUGUGUUUUUUGUGAUUAAGUGAUGAAGUGCCUUUUAACUGUCUGAUUUUAUAUACCUAGCAAAGGCAACAAUACUGUUGCUCUUAUGGGUACAAGAAUCCCACAUGACAUCCCGCGUGUCUGUUGUAUGGUGACGUGUAGGUCAAUGUUGUGGGUGUGAGUAUUGCAGAUGAAUAAGGCUCCUGCCGCGACGCUACUGCCAGGGGGGAGACUAGCGUAACGCUUCACGAAGAGACCUCUUCCAGUGUCUCGACAAGGGUACCAGACAGAGAUCCAAGGUGGCAAGGUGAUAGGCCUGCAACAGCGUCCCGUCCAACACUGUUGCCUUCCUCUACUAUGAGACGGACGGAUCUACAGGUCUGAGGAUGGAAGACGUUUACUCUACAAAAGGCUCUUGAGAAGCUGUACAACGGCAGUGAAUCAAAUGUGUGAGUGUGUCAUCAAACAAACAACCUGCCGAUCACUGAUGGACAUCAAUAAGGUGGCCAGGGACGUCAUGAUGAGUCUUCCGCGUCGAAAGAUGCCGGCGUGGGUGACGGUGGCGCUACUGUGGUGUGUGGCACCACUCACCAUGGCUGCAGUGGCACCUUUGGAUAUAGAAGUGACUAUACCGCCACUACUGGAGACACAGCCAUCCAGGAGCGAGGUGUUGUUCACUGUCAACCAUGACCCGGACCAGCCACCCGAACCCUUCACUCUUCCCUGCCGCGCUGACGCUCUUCCUGCCCCAAGUUAUUCCUGGCUGAAGAACGGCGAAAAUUUCGACCUAGAUGACGACGAAGAAGAUAAAGAACGAGUGACUAUGGUGGAGGGGGAGGGCAGCCUUGUGUUCCACGACCCACGACCCGAGGAUGAAGGAAACUACCAAUGUGUGGCGGAGAACUCUGUGGGUGUGGCUUACAGUGAGGUCACUCCAGUGCGUCGUGCAGUAAUGGGCAAUUUCCCCAAGGCUGAACCCCGGGUAGUGACGGCCACGCUGGGUCAGUCUCUUAGUCUGCCCUGCACGCCGCCUGAGGGGUACCCAGAGCCCUCCCUCCACUGGGUGCUUCAGACGUCAGACGGUGGACUGCGUAGCUUGAACUCCCCUCGCCUGACGGUCGACGAGAAAGGUACUCUCUGGUUCAGCUACGUCGUCCCAGAGGACGCCUCAGAAGAUGCUCUCUAUGCCUGUGCUGCGUCGUCUGUCACCAGCAGUACCCAGAUGUAUCUGGUGAAGGACGAAGAGGGCCGACUGGAGAUGGUGGAGGAGGAGCCGUCCGAAGAGGUCUUCACAACCAUCAAUCUACAGACUGAGUACCGGAUGGGAAACUGGGUGUACCUGAAUGUAAGUUAUCCGGGCGACGACAAAACCACCCUGCCCGAGGACAGCCAACCACCCGUCCAGCAGUACGUCAGCGAGAGCCAAGUUACAGCGCUCGAGGGAGAUGACAUCAAACUAUACUGCAUCUAUGGUGGAUACCCGGUGCCGGAGGUGAGGUGGUGGCGUGAGAGUCGUGGCGACGUGGAGAGCGACAAGUUGGACCACUACGGGAAAGUACUGGUGCUGGAAGACCUUGAGGAGGUGGACAUGGGUUCCUACUACUGUCAAGCCACCAAUGAGGCUGGCGAGAGUGAUACGCAGCACUUUACAGUUUACGUUGAAGCUGCUCCUGAGUUCGUGGUUGAACCCGGGGUGAUCAACUCGCCUCAGGGCGCGACGGCCGUCUUCAACUGCGAGGCCAGUGGCGACCCCAAACCGACCAUCACCUGGACCAAGAACGGCCAAUUACUCGACACCCACGAGACUACGGUGGUGUUCGACACGCUAGAGUCCAGCAUGAAAGCUGCCAUCGCUUGCAACGCUUCCAACGAACAUGGUUACGUGUAUAAGAGUGUCUACCUCAAUGUUUUGUCUCUUCCUCCGGAGUGGUUAACGGAGCCGGCGGACCUGGCAGUGCUGGAAGGCGGGGCCGCCACCCUGGAGUGCGAGGCUUAUGGCUCUCCCGACCCCAACAUGACCUGGGCCAAGAUGGAGGGUGAUGAGAAGGUUAUCAUUGACGAUGGGGACCCUCGCUAUGACGUCGAAGACAACAAGUUGAUAAUAAAAUCUGUAGACGAGGACACCGAGGGUCAGUAUAUCUGCAUUGCUACCAACAAGUUCGCGUCGUUGAAUUCAGUUGCAGAGAUUGUGAUGCGAGAGAAAACGGGGGCUGAGGCCAGCCUAUCGAGUGACAGAGUCGAGGCAAAUGAUCACGUCUCACUCAACUGCCUCGUCAAGAUCGACUCACACCUUAAGCCCGAAGUCACCUGGUUCAAGGACGAUGUCAAAAUAAACCUUAAAGAUGAUAAUUACCGUCUUGGACGGAGCGAAUUCCCUGACAAUAAAAUUGAUGAUGGUGAUGAGGAUGACGACGAAGACGGGAGAGAGGAGGAGACGUGGGUGUUGGAGAUCAUGAAGGUCCAUGGCCACGACUCUGGUGUGUAUACCUGCAGUGUUCACACUGAAGUUGACGACGCCUCAGAUAAUGUCAUUCUUACUGUCGAGGAUGUACCCAACUCGCCUCAUCUGAUGACGGCUCACUGUGAAGACCGGGAAGCUUUCCUCGAGUGGUCGUCAACAGGAGACAAUAACGCACCACUUCAAGGCUUUGUCAUCCAGUACGUCACACCAUUCCACCCUGAUGACUGGAAAGACGCCGAAAAUAAGAUUCCAGCUUCAUCAACAUCCUUCUCAUCUCGCUUCCAGACCAUCGCCCGUGUGGAUAUGAGCCCGGGACUGAACUACACCUUCCGUGUGCUGGCGUUCAACCGUGUAGGUAUGUCUGAUCCAAGUGAGGACACUGCCCAGUGCUUCCCGCCAGGACUCCCGCCUGACCACCACCCCUACAACGUCACUGUCACGGGCACAUCACCCGGCACGCUCGUCAUCUCCUGGCAGACCAUGGCACCUGAAGAACAUAAUGGGCCGGACUUUCACUAUAAAGUCCUCUGGCGAACUGAUGACGCUGAUGACGCCGACGAUGACGAAGAGAACGUCACCACAACUGAUGAAGUCGAAGGCGAGACCAAGACUGAGGACGAAGAAAAUGACGACGAUGGUUGGCACACAAUGAUCUUCGAUGACUGGGAAAAAAACCAGGUGGAGAUGACGGAGCUGCCGCCUUAUCUGGAGUAUGAAGUAGAAGUGGAGGCCCACAACGCCUACGGUGCCGCCCCACCGAGCCUCCUCACCUAUACCGGCCACUCCGGCCAGGACGAACCUGAAGACGAGCCUGACGACCUCAAGGUGCUUGAUGCUGACGCCACCGACGCCGUCCUUACAUGGACACCCGUUGACCAAGACUCUCUUAACGGCCUGCUUCUUGGCUACAAGAUUGAGUAUUGGGAAGACCAUGAUGGUGAUGAUGACGAUGAUGAACUUCACGAAGAAGUGUUGGCGACAGGAUCUGUAGGUCGCGCAGAGUUAAAGGGUCUCACACCCUUCAUGUCGUACCGGGCUAGAGUGAGUGCCGUCAAUUCCGCUUUCACAGGUCCUGCCAGCACCAUCGUUGCCUUCAAGACUGCCGAAGGAGAGUCCGGGCCUGUGUCGAACAUGGAGUCGAAGCAGCUGGGGGAUGACAGUCUACUCUUAAGCUGGGAAGCACCAGAGGAGCCACACGGUGUUGUGAGAGGCUACAAGGUGCAUUACUGUACAAUCAAUGGAGACGGGGAAGAAGGCCCAGUGACUAACUACAGUGAAACUCUGACUCCCAACUUAAACAUUGUUAAACUGACAGACUUGGAGAGUGGCGCCACCUACAGGGUUACUGUCGCUGCUAUCAAUGGGGCCGGGGAUGGCGAAGGGUUGUCGCUGGAUCAUGACAUGGAGGUAUUAGAUCCCCGUGUCCCCGCGGUGCCGGUGUUUACUUGGCUAGUACUCGAGGAGGAAGAUGAGGAGCAGCCCGGCACUGACAGAGACGGUGACGGUGACGUAGACGACAACGACGUUAGAAACAAAAACAUUAUUAUUGGUGACACUGAUGGCGAUGGUGACGUAGACGAAGAUGAUGUCCUAGAUACUGAUAAUGACGGAGAUAUUGAUGAAGAUGACAUAAAUGUUGCGGACAUCAACAAUGACGGUACUGUAGACGUGGAGGAUGUAAAAGCUGCUGACAGGGACAAUGAUGGGUUCGUGGACAUAGGUGACAUCGGCGAUGAGGAUGGAGAUGGUGACUUUGACGGAGCAGAUGUACUCGCCGCGGACGAGGACGGUGACGGUGAUAUCGACUCUUCAGAUGACGACGAAGAGGAUGUGCUUUUGGAGGACAGGGAUCAAGAUGGUGAUAUUGAUAAGGACGAUGUAGUGGACAUCAACCACGAUGGUAUUCUCGACGAGAAAGACUUUAGGGCCGCAGAUGUUGAUAACGAUGGAGAUGUUGAUGAAGACGAUGUGAAAGUCGCAGACAAAGAUGGAGACGGUGAUAUUGAUGGCGCUGACUUGACCGACUUGGACAAAGACGGGAGAGUAGACGGUGAUGACCUUGAGGUGGUGGACAUAGAUGGGGAUGGUGAUGUAGACUCCCGGGACUUCUCCUUAAAGACGGUCUUCCUUACUGAUGUUGAUAAUGAUGGUGAUGUCGAUUCAGACGAUGUUCUUGACAUCGAUAAAGAUGGUGAUGUAGACGAAGAUGAUCAUGCAAUCGCCGAUAUUGAUAAUGAUGGUGAUGUUGAUGCUGAUGACGUUAAAGCCGGUGAUAAAGAUGGUGACGGUGAUAUUGAUGCUGUAGAUAUUGGAGAUGAAGAUAAUGAUGGUGAUAUUGAUGGUCUUGAUGUUCUAAAAGCUGAUAAAGAUGGUGACGGAGACAUUGAUGCAAGUGAUGAUAAUGAAGAAGGUACACUCCUUGAAGACCGAGAUGGUGACGGUGACUUUGAUCGUGAAGAUGUUACCGAUUUAGAUGGUGAUGGUGAUAUUGAUAGUGAGGAUAUAGCCGCCGCAGAUGUAGAUGAUGAUGGUGAUGUUGAUAUGGAUGAUCUCAACAUCGCUGACAAAGAUGGUGAUGGUGAUGUUGACGAAGCUGACAUGGCCGACCUUGAUGGUGACGGCAAACUUGAUGGUGAUGACCUUGAAAUAAAUGAUCGUAAUGCUGAUGGUGUUAUUGAUGCCAAAGACUUCACCUUCAGGAACACUUUACUUGCUGAUACUGAUGGCGAUGGUGAUAUAGAUAGUGACGAUGUCCUCGAUAUUGAUGGUGACGGAGACAUUGAUGAAGAAGACAUUAAAGCCGCGGAUAUUGAUGAUGAUGGUGAUAUUGAUGGUGAUGAUGUAAAGCAGGGAGAUAAAGAUGGUGAUAAUGAUGUUGACUCCGCUGAUGUACAUGACAUUGAUGGUGAUGGUUUUAUCGAUGAAGACGAUCUUGAUGUUGAGGACAGGGAUGGUGAUGGUGAUGUUGAUGCCACUGACUUCGCUCUCCGCAAAGUAUUUCUUGGAGACACUGACGGCGAUGGAGACGUUGACAGAGAAGACGUUCUUGACACUGAUGGUGAUGGUGACAUUGAUGAUAAAGACUUUGAUGUUGCUGACAUCAAUAACGACGGUAAUGUAGAUAUGAAAGAUGUCGCUGCUGCUGACAGAGAUCACGAUGGAGACGUUGAUGAGGCUGACAUAGGAGAUGAAGAUAACGACGGAGACAUAGAUGGAAAUGAUGUGAUCGCUGCAGAUGAGGAUGGUGAUGGUGAUAUUGAUGCUGCAGAUGACGAUGGUGAAAGUAUCUUGCUCUCAGAUACUGAUGGUGAUGGUGACGUUGACCUGAACGAUGUAAUAGACCUCGAUGGUGACGGAGACAUCGACGAAGAUGAUAAUAAGGCCGCAGACAUUGACAAUGAUGGUGACGUUGAUGUUGACGACGUUAAAGCUGCAGAUAGAGACAAGGAUGGGGAUGUAGAUGCUGCAGACAUUGUUGACAUUAAUGAUGAUGGUCAUAUUGACGGUAGAGAUCUUGUGGGGUUAGAUAGAGAUAAUGACGGCGAUAUUGACUCGACGGACAUUGAGAAUUUGGACGUGUUCCUCAAAGACACUGAUGGUGAUGGUGAUGUAGACGAAGACGAUGUCCUUGACGUUGACCAUGACGGGGAUAUUGACGAAGAUGACAUUGCUGUGGCCGAUAUUAAUAACGAUGGUAACAUUGACUCAGACGAUGUUGUAGCUGGUGACCGAGACGGCGACAAUGAUGUUGAUUUUAAAGACAUCGGGGACGAAGAUGGAGAUGGUGACAUUGAUGGAAGUGAUGUCGUGAUUGCUGAUCGGGAUGGUGACGGCGACAUUGACGCUGCCGAUGAAGGUCGAGGAGUGGAAGUACGCGUCAACUGGACACCAGACUUGGAGGCUCACCCAGGGGUUGACUUCUAUGUUCAGAACAGGGUGAAGGGAACACAACACUGGAAGUCAUCCCCUGUGGAGCGUCAACACCUCUACCAGACCAUAUCAGGUCUUGAUCCUCGUCGAUCCUACGAGGUCAGGAUAGUGGCCAAGGACGGGCCCUACGAGACGCCCUCCGAUAUUAAGUACCUCGCAGCCACAGAAGCUAUGCCAACACCAGGAACAGUAGCUACUCCGACGUCUGGAAAAAUAGAGUGCCUAUAUCCUGGAGUAAACAAUUCUCCAACAUCUGAGGAGCUCUCCCAUCUUGAAUUUGUAAAGCCAAAAGUGAGCGAGAGUAUGGACAUGGAGCCUAACCCCAUCUUGUGGACGUGGUUCAUCAUCGCCGUCAUGGUCGCUGUUACUAUGAUCUGCAUAGUCUUCUUCUCCAUGUGGGUCUACAGCCAGCGCAUUGCGCGGGUAAGGGAGCUACGGGCAGCGCUAUAUGAAGGCUAUGAACCAUCAGAGCCAGAGCCUAUCAAAAAAGAAGCUGAUGUAGAGGCCGCCAAGCCAGCACCCGAAGAAGCCGUCGAGGAGGAGAUGACUGCCAAUUACCAGCGGAAAGAGAACAGGAAGUCUUGGUAUCACGUACAACUGGCAGCUAUGAUGAAGCGGCAGGAGACUGUACAGAGUGUUGACUCUUUCGCAUCCCACGAUGAUGACUUCGCAGAAUAUGGCGAUGAGAGCAUGGUUGGCCAGACGGAGACCUUAGUUUAACCGCUAUCGACCUGCUCAGUUCGGUAUCGCUGGUAACGAACCCGAGACAUCAAAGGCCUCCUCCAGCGCCGCGCACCUGAACUCUCUCGCCAGGUCGCUUCACUGAUGACG
RNAcentral lists this unclassified non-coding RNA (7406 nucleotides) under Homarus americanus (American lobster). RNAcentral's name for it is "neuroglian-like, transcript variant X11". The record is from RNAcentral. Lineage: Eukaryota; Metazoa; Arthropoda; Malacostraca; Decapoda; Nephropidae.